UCCGGUUUGUCACCGGCAGUCUCGCAUGAGUCCCCAACUAAAUGCUGGCAACAUACGACGGGGGUUGCGCUCGUUGCGGGACUUAACCCAACACCUCACGGCACGAGCUGACGACGGCCAUGCAGCACCUUGCAAAUUGUCCGAAGAACGACUGGUUUCUCAAUCUGUCAAAAUGCAUUCAAGUCCCGGUAAGGUUCCUCGCGUAUCAUCGAAUUAAACCAC
This 222-nucleotide unclassified non-coding RNA is filed under the name uncultured bacterium. RNAcentral describes it as "contains 16S-23S intergenic spacer region". The record is from RNAcentral.